Molecule: ribosomal RNA, 421 nt
Filed under: uncultured bacterium
Lineage: Bacteria
Description: bacterial SSU rRNA
Rfam family: Bacterial small subunit ribosomal RNA
Source: RNAcentral
UAAGGAAUAUUGGUCAAUGGACGCAAGUCUGAACCAGCCAUGCCGCGUGAAGGAUGAAGGUCCUCUGGAUUGUAAACUUCUUUUAUCUGGGACGAAAACGGGAUUUUUAUCUCAAUUGACGGUACCAGAGGAAUAAGCACCGGCUAACUCCGUGCCAGCAGCCGCGGUAAUACGGAGGGUGCGAGCGUUAUCCGGAUUUACCGGGUUUAAAGGGUGCGUAGGUGGGCUUAUAAGUCAGUGGUGAAAUCUCCGAGCUUAACUUGGAAACUGCCGUUGAUACUAUAGGUCUUGAAUUAUCUGGAGGUAAGCGGAAUAUGUCAUGUAGCGGUGAAAUGCUUAGAUAUGACAUAGAACACCAAUUGCGAAGGCAGCUUACUACAUAUAAAUUGACGCCGAGGCACGAAAGCGUGGGGAUCAAACA